UAGGGAAUCUUGCGCAAUGGGCGAAAGCCUGACGCAGCCAUGCCGCGUGAAUGAUGAAGGUCUUAGGAUUGUAAAAUUCUUUCACCGGGGAAGAUAAUGACGGUACCCGGAGAAGAAGCCCCGGCUAACUUCGUGCCAGCAGCCGCGGUAAUACGAAGGGGGCUAGCGUUGCUCGGAAUUACUGGGCGUAAAGGGCGCGUAGGCGGAUAUCUAAGUUGGGGGUGAAAGCCCGGGGCUCAACCUCGGAAUAGCCUUCAAUACUGGAUAUCUUGAGUUCGGGAGAGGUGAGUGGAAUGCCGAGUGUAGAGGUGAAAUUCGUAGAUAUUCGGCGGAACACCAGUGACGAAGGCGACUCACUGGCCCGAUACUGACGCUGAGGCGCGAAAGCGUGGGGAGCAAACAGGAUUAGAUACCCUGGUAGUCCACGCCGUAAACGAUGAGUGCUAGUUGUCGGCAUGCAUGCAUGUCGGUGACGCAGCUAACGCAUUAAGCACUCCGCCUGGGGAGUACGGUCGCAAGAUUAAAACUCAAAUGAAUUGACGGGGUCAUAGCUGUUUCCUG
RNAcentral lists this ribosomal RNA (561 nucleotides) under uncultured bacterium. RNAcentral describes it as "partial 16S ribosomal RNA". It matches the Rfam family "Bacterial small subunit ribosomal RNA", at positions 355 to 1376 of the family's 1533-position model. The record is from RNAcentral.